AAGAAAGAGGAGACUUCUAAUGAUGAUCAGUUAUCUUUGGAUGUAAAGAAUUUAGAUUUAAUGGAUGAGGUUUCUAACAAUGCAAGAAACAAUGGGAAGCUUGCCCAAACAUUUAUCUUUGAGGAGCUUGCUGCCGCAACAGGCAAUUUCCGGUCAGAUUGUUGCUUGGGUGAAGGAGGUUUCGGCAAAGUUUACAAGGGGUAUUUGGAUAAAAUCAACCAGGUUGUUGCUAUUAAGCAACUUGAUCGAAAUGG
This 254-nucleotide unclassified non-coding RNA is filed under the name Hevea brasiliensis (rubber tree). Lineage: Eukaryota; Viridiplantae; Streptophyta; Magnoliopsida; Malpighiales; Euphorbiaceae. The record is from RNAcentral.